CAUUGCUCUAUGAAGUGAAUGGCUGCAUAAAUCUGAGUGUACUAAGGUAGCGCUAUAAUUUGCCUUUUAAAUGGGGGCUGGUAUGAACGGGUUCACGUGAGAGUUGCUGUGUCAUAGAAAUUUUUUUGAAAUUAACCUUUAGGUGAAGAGGCCUAAGUAAAAUUAAAGGACGACAAGACCCUAGAAGCUUUACUAAGGGUAGGUUAAUAUAUUAAUUUAUUUAAGUUUUGUUGGGGCAACAUAGUUAGAAAGUAUAACUUGUUUUUAUAAACUUACAAGUUAAAACCACAUCGGUGAAUAAGAUAAGCUACUCUAGGGAUAACAGCGUUAUUUUUUUUAAUAGUACGUAUUGUAAAAAAAGUUUGCGACCUCGAUGUUGGACUAAGGUGUCCUUAAGGUGUAGAAGUCUUAAAGGGUUGGCCUGUUCGUCCAUUAAAACCUUACAUGAUCUGA
RNAcentral lists this ribosomal RNA (453 nucleotides) under Bathymodiolus sp. SP-2014. RNAcentral's name for it is "partial 16S ribosomal RNA". It matches the Rfam family "Bacterial large subunit ribosomal RNA", at positions 1906 to 2608 of the family's 2925-position model. Lineage: Eukaryota; Metazoa; Mollusca; Bivalvia; Mytilida; Modiolidae. The record is from RNAcentral.